GGGGGAAGGGCGGCAGGCCUAACCAUGCAAGUCGAGCGGCAGCACGGGAGCUUGCUCCUGGUGGCGAGCGGCGGACGGGUGAGUAAUGCCUAGGAAUCUGCCUGUUAGUGGGGGAUAACUCGGGGAAACUCGAGCUAAUACCGCAUACGUCCUACGGGAGAAAGUGGGGGACCUUCGGGCCUCACGCUAACAGAUGAGCCUAGGUCGGAUUAGCUAGUUGGUGGGGUAAAGGCCUACCAAGGUGACGAUCCGUAGCUGGUCUGAGAUGAUGAUUAGCCUCUCUGGAUCUGAUACAUUGUCCCGACUCCUACGGGAGUGUGCCGUGGUAAAUCUUUGUUUGUGUGCGCAAACCUGAAGCGUGCCGUGGCGCGGGCGUGAUGUAUGUCAUCGAUAUCUUCGUCUUUUUUCUCUUUUUCUUUUUCCUUUCUACUAUUCCUUUUUUGUCUUUUUUCCCCCCCCCUUUUAUCUUUUUCUUCUUUGUAACAUGUCUGGCUCUGUUCUCUUGCGCGCUUGUGUGUAUGGCUUCCUACUAGUCUUCAGCUUCGAGUCCUUGCCUGUUGUACAAGCCUAACUCGCCCGCUCUGUAUCUCUCCUGUCCCUAGUUUGCUCUACCAUUUCUGCUCUCUUAUGCUCUUUAUUUUUAUCACCGCCUGGUAUCCCUUUCCUCAUCUUUUACUCGCUUUUGGCAGGUGCACACUGAUCACCCUCUACUUCAUACCUUAUCAAACUCCCACUAACCGACCUCAAGUAUCUCUCUACUAUUUAACUAUCUCAUCUUCUGUUCUCCCUCGUUCUCGGCUCCUUUAUAUUUUUUCUUUUCCCCUUUUCUCUCCGCUUUCUACUUGUUUUUUUGUUGUUGGCUUUUUCUUGGGGUGCUAGUCUCUCCUAGGGUUCUUAACUUGUUGUUUUGUUUGCUGAUCUUUUGUCUUAUUUAACUUUCUUUUUAUGAUAGUUUACCUAAGUAAGCACUACCCGAUAUCUUUUAAUGUUUG
RNAcentral lists this ribosomal RNA (992 nucleotides) under Pseudomonas sp. Ca7-2J04. RNAcentral's name for it is "partial 16S ribosomal RNA". The stretch from base 10 to 370 matches the Rfam family "Bacterial small subunit ribosomal RNA", at positions 39 to 400 of the family's 1533-position model. The record is from RNAcentral. Lineage: Bacteria; Pseudomonadati; Pseudomonadota; Gammaproteobacteria; Pseudomonadales; Pseudomonadaceae.